This 1554-nucleotide ribosomal RNA is filed under the name Salmonella enterica subsp. enterica serovar Thompson. RNAcentral describes it as "bacterial SSU rRNA". It matches the Rfam family "Bacterial small subunit ribosomal RNA". The record is from RNAcentral. Lineage: Bacteria; Pseudomonadati; Pseudomonadota; Gammaproteobacteria; Enterobacterales; Enterobacteriaceae.
UUAAAUUGAAGAGUUUGAUCAUGGCUCAGAUUGAACGCUGGCGGCAGGCCUAACACAUGCAAGUCGAACGGUAACAGGAAGCAGCUUGCUGCUUCGCUGACGAGUGGCGGACGGGUGAGUAAUGUCUGGGAAACUGCCUGAUGGAGGGGGAUAACUACUGGAAACGGUGGCUAAUACCGCAUAACGUCGCAAGACCAAAGAGGGGGACCUUCGGGCCUCUUGCCAUCAGAUGUGCCCAGAUGGGAUUAGCUAGUUGGUGAGGUAACGGCUCACCAAGGCGACGAUCCCUAGCUGGUCUGAGAGGAUGACCAGCCACACUGGAACUGAGACACGGUCCAGACUCCUACGGGAGGCAGCAGUGGGGAAUAUUGCACAAUGGGCGCAAGCCUGAUGCAGCCAUGCCGCGUGUAUGAAGAAGGCCUUCGGGUUGUAAAGUACUUUCAGCGGGGAGGAAGGUGUUGUGGUUAAUAACCGCAGCAAUUGACGUUACCCGCAGAAGAAGCACCGGCUAACUCCGUGCCAGCAGCCGCGGUAAUACGGAGGGUGCAAGCGUUAAUCGGAAUUACUGGGCGUAAAGCGCACGCAGGCGGUCUGUCAAGUCGGAUGUGAAAUCCCCGGGCUCAACCUGGGAACUGCAUUCGAAACUGGCAGGCUUGAGUCUUGUAGAGGGGGGUAGAAUUCCAGGUGUAGCGGUGAAAUGCGUAGAGAUCUGGAGGAAUACCGGUGGCGAAGGCGGCCCCCUGGACAAAGACUGACGCUCAGGUGCGAAAGCGUGGGGAGCAAACAGGAUUAGAUACCCUGGUAGUCCACGCCGUAAACGAUGUCUACUUGGAGGUUGUGCCCUUGAGGCGUGGCUUCCGGAGCUAACGCGUUAAGUAGACCGCCUGGGGAGUACGGCCGCAAGGUUAAAACUCAAAUGAAUUGACGGGGGCCCGCACAAGCGGUGGAGCAUGUGGUUUAAUUCGAUGCAACGCGAAGAACCUUACCUGGUCUUGACAUCCACAGAACUUUCCAGAGAUGGAUUGGUGCCUUCGGGAACUGUGAGACAGGUGCUGCAUGGCUGUCGUCAGCUCGUGUUGUGAAAUGUUGGGUUAAGUCCCGCAACGAGCGCAACCCUUAUCCUUUGUUGCCAGCGGUUAGGCCGGGAACUCAAAGGAGACUGCCAGUGAUAAACUGGAGGAAGGUGGGGAUGACGUCAAGUCAUCAUGGCCCUUACGACCAGGGCUACACACGUGCUACAAUGGCGCAUACAAAGAGAAGCGACCUCGCGAGAGCAAGCGGACCUCAUAAAGUGCGUCGUAGUCCGGAUUGGAGUCUGCAACUCGACUCCAUGAAGUCGGAAUCGCUAGUAAUCGUGGAUCAGAAUGCCACGGUGAAUACGUUCCCGGGCCUUGUACACACCGCCCGUCACACCAUGGGAGUGGGUUGCAAAAGAAGUAGGUAGCUUAACCUUCGGGAGGGCGCUUACCACUUUGUGAUUCAUGACUGGGGUGAAGUCGUAACAAGGUAACCGUAGGGGAACCUGCGGUUGGAUCACCUCCUUACCUUAAAGAA